AAACCAUGAGAUAAUGACCUGAGCUGAAACCAAGAGUCAGACACUUAACUGACUGAGCCACCCAGGUGCCUGCAUCCAGAAUAAUGUUGAACCAGACAUCUGGGCACCCUGUGUACCAGCUAUGUUGACACAGUUACGCAUCACAGCGGUCUUCCUCGUGGCCUCUUGUUUUAUGAGAGGAGUAUGGGGUAAUUCCCCGGUUCAGGGUGUUCCCACAUAUGUUGCUGAAUUCAGCCCCUAAGAAAUACAGACGUUACUCAGAUUUCUUGGCUUACAAAAUCAAGACUUGUGGCAGGUAUGUGACGGUGCUCUAGGGGCGCGCCUGUCUGAGCUGCAGUAAGGUGGGGCUUUGCCACAUCCUGCCAAGACAGAAAUGCACCCGCGUUCCUGUGCGUGAGUCUGUGGAUGUGGGCCCCCGGUCAUCUCAGCUGCAGAGAAGCCCUUCAUCCAACUGAUGUUAAAGGCAGUUCAGAGAGCACCGGGUGCUGGAGACCCAGAGGAGUGCUUCUGGCCCGGAGGGGCAAUUCUGUCCCCCGGCUUAUUAGACGGAAGCAUCUAGCUCUGGUCUCUCUCUGGUGUUUAUCCCCAGGUCUUUGUUAGAGUAACAAACGGCUUUGAGAGGGAAAAGUCCUAAAUACUUGUUACUGAUGUGAAAGAUACUUGAGAAGGUAUGUGCUUGUGACUUCGUUAUUUGCGGCAAAAUCAGCUUUGAUUCCCAUUAUGAGUCUGGGACUCACAUUAUGCCCACGUGGGCCUAAAAGGUACUUGUGGCUUUUUGUCCUUUAUACAGUUUUUUAAUAAUUUUUUUUAAUGUUUAUUUUUGAGAGAGACAGAGCAUGAGCAGGGCCACCUAAUUGCUGAAGGAGGAAUGGUUCCGUUCGGCAGUCUUCCACGCUUGGAGAACCAGCACUCGGAGAUCACGGCAUCGUAGGCUUGUGCCGCCUCUUCUGGGGCCUGUAUCCCGGCUCUGCGGGUCCCACCAGGUGCCUGGGGCACCCACUGGGUCCUCUCCUUGAAGGGUUGACUCCCUGCUCCACAGGGCACCUCCUUCAUGCUUCUAGGUCUUAACCUUCCCCCGCCUUUGUUUCCCUGCCCUGAGUGGUAGCUACCACUGACCGAGCCUUAGCACCUUCUAGUGUGUUCUAGAAUGUACUUUUUAUUUUCUCCCUCCGUCCACUCACCAUAGAAUAGAAAUCUCUGAGGGCCAGGGAUUCCACACCUCUGGUUUGCUGCAGACGUGAGGUGAGAAGGAAUGAGCGGAUGGUCCUCCAGGGGUGAUUGCAAGACUUUUGGAUGAUCCCAAGAUUUUUGCCCGAGCCCUGGACGGUUGGGGUUGCCUGUGGCUGAGCCGAGGAAGGAGACGGUGGAGCAGGUUUGGAGGGGGAAGGUAGGAGCGUGAGUUCUGGCCAUGCUAGCAUGUUAGAUCAUCUCCAGGUGGAGACGUUGACAGGAAGACGUCCAAGCUCGGGGACACGGGGAUAAACACAGGUGUCGUCAGCCCCUACACGACACUUAAAACCGUGAGAGCAGAGGCCAGCUACCGGAAGAGUGGGGGACGGUGAAGGGGAGAGAACAGAGCCGGGACGGGCCGAUGCCGGGGCGCCAGGGAGAUGAAAACUACCGAGGAGGUUGGAAACAGGAGCCCCGACUGACUGCCGUGAGCGGGAAAACCCGGGAGGACGCCAUGUGCUGGCAUUCCAGAGAAGGACGCGAGGGGACCCACUGUGUCGUGUAGCCGGUAAGUCAUGUAAGAUGAGAACAGAGAAUUAACUGUUGUAUUUGGCACUGUGGGAGCCGUCCUUGACCUCGGCAGGAAUUAACCGUUGCAUUUGGGACUGUAGGGAGUCGUCCUUGACCUCGACAGGAGUGGUUUUGGUUGAGUAGGGGAAACAGAAGGUUGAUGGCAGCGGGUUUCAUAGAAAACGGAUGAACGAAUGAAAGUCCAAAGGAACUCACUUGGUUGUAGGGAUAAUAGCUGAUGGAGAGAAAAAUGGGUUUCUGAUUAAAAAAGAUCUUGGUGCAACUGUAAAUGUAUGAGUUCUGUCAACUCACUGGUUAGUCUCCUGCGUUGCAAGCCAGGCCUUUCAGGUCCUAUCUGAAGAGGCAGUGGCUGGGCUGGGGGAGGCUUCGCGCAAGGCCGAGAGGGGGAGCAGGGUUUACCCCCUUCUCUGCCGCGUCUUCCGCCAGCCGGCCCCUCGGACCAGGCCGGCAGGGAGAUCCCGUUAGACAUACCUCGAUUUCUCCUCUUCCUUCCGUCUGCUUACUGCUGGGCUACCUCGUUUCCCCUCGCGCAGUGCUUGUGUGCCUGUGUCUCAUCUGUGUGCGUGUGAGCUGGAGAAGAGCUGGAUUCCUCCCCGACGUGCAGUGAAGGGCCUCUGCUCGCCCUCACCGGCGGUUCUCCGACGCUCGCUUUAGAGAGAAUCUUAGGCGUGAGCUUUUUUGAACUGGCAUUUUGGGAGGAAGCAGCCACAGCCCUGGCUAUUUUUAAUGCUUUCUACUGGGAUUUGUGGAUGUUUGUGUUCUAGUAACCAACAUAAUAGCUGUUUGGAAUUGCUUUGUUAGCACUGUGAAAGGGGAGUGUGCGCGCGUGUGGUGUAAAAGGUGGGGAGAAGCAGGAAAAGAAAUGUUCAAGUCCUGUCUUCCUGCGUGCCAGUUGCUUUCUUGGGAUGGUCAGAGCUGAAUGACGAGAUGCUGAAUUUAUUUCCUGAGCCGUGACCUGUGUACAUGUAAAAGACUUACAGAAUAUCUCCGUUUGUUUGUUUGACGUUAGUGAUGAUUAUCUUGAGAUACAGAGGCCCUGGUUGCCUUCCCAAGGAAAGGCUUAGGAAGUGUAAAAUGUCCUCAUGGGCUCGCCUCUGCCGUGCUUCAUUCACCGCCUCUGGGGAUUGUUUUCAUUUCUGGCAGGCGUUAGCUCGCUCUGGUGGCAAAUGCUUCAGCAAGAGCUUUCCGUCCAGGGGGUGUUCUUGGCCUCCGGGCUUAGCGUCUCCUGCUGGUGAAGAGACGCACAUCGGGUCAGGGGACCAGGGAUGCAAGGGCAGUGCGGUCUCUACGAAAGUCAGCCAGUUGCCAUUUUGUCCUUCAGCAGGGGGCUGGCUCCUUGCGCCUGCGGGCCCAACUGGCUGCUGCCUCGGUGACGUGAUGUAGAUGGUGGUGACAGAGCGAGAGCUGUGGUGUGAGUGCAAGGCCAACAGCAGUGCUGGUAAAGAGCCCGAGCAUCCUGCCUGCCUCCCCGAUGGGUCCUGUGCCUCCUCCACAGACCCAGGGACCACAGAGAGACUAAGGAUGGCCCAAAGCCCGGAUUCCCUCAGCGUUGGUUCCGCCAUUCUGUGGGGACAGGACCCAGGCCCGGCACAUGCUGCGUAUGGGUAACUACUUGGAAGGAACAGUGAGACACAUGCUAAUGUAGCCAGAGACUGACAUCUAACGUCUAAUCCUUUUUGGUGGUAGGAGCACAUCAUUGAGAAUACGUCGUCUUUGUAUAAUUAACAAGGCAAUUAGAGAAAGGGAGACUUAGCCUCUACGACACAAACUGAGCUCUUCUGUAUCUAGCAAGACCGUGAGGGUAUCAGCUUUAGAUUGACUUAAAAAAAAAAAAAAAAAAAACCCGAGGAGGACAAAGGCACCUGAAUUACAGACUUCCGGAGCCUGUUGAAGCACGGACCGCUUAGAAACAAAAUCUCCGAGAGGCAGCCAAGAUCUUUUCAUUUUGAAAAUGCUUUAAUAAGUGUUGACAACACUGUUUUGCAAAAUGUAAAGGUACUAUACAAAUUCUUAAUACAAAAAGAAUAAAUUAAAAGCAGAUUUCUUUUUAAUUCUGCAACUUUGUCUACAACAUACAUCCUUUUCAUUGAUUACAGUUGAACAGAAUCCAGUAAAAUCAUUUUACAUGCUCUACAGUCAGUUUCAGGAGCAACCUAAUCCUUUCUCCCCAUUAUUAAACUAGAGUCCAUUUUACACAACGUGUAAUAAACUAUUGACAUUAAUGUAUAUGUAAAACUUUACACCUAGUUAACUAAGCAGUAACUGGUCAUCUGAUAGCACCUGGAGGGGGGUUUGCUAUAUUUAGAACUAACACUGAAUGAAAACAAAUCGGAAUUUUAACAGUUUCAACACUCACUGCAUAUAAUAAAACAAAACAAAACAAAAAAAUCCACCUGUCUCACAACAAAGUCUGAUGUAGGUGUUCCCAACAGUCUUCAGGCUAAACAGGCAAUUUCUUACACAUAUCCCAAGAAUCCAGUAGGGGCUUAUAUCAGACCAGGGGCUUUAUAUUCCAUCUUACUUUGUUUUUAAAGAAAUCGGGAUCUGGGAAGAGCUUGCAAGUGCUUGUACAAAACAGCUAUUGUUUCCCACCACACUGGUCAUGAAUCAUGUCGGUCUCAAAGGACUAACAGUAUGUACAUUUUGUAGUAACUGAACGCAGCUCAACAGUAAAACCUGUUUGACUUAAUCUCCGUCUUUACUACCAGACUGUAAUGGUGUUUGUCUGAACUGGAUUUCCCUCCCACCCCGUUCCUCGCUGCCUCCUGAAUCCAAAACCCAAGCGUUGAGGAAGAAUUUUCGUCUCUCAUUCCUCGUAAACCCAACUGGGCUCAAAGCGUGAUCCGAUGGACGUCAGACCAGAUUUGAAACUACGUUUGGUGGCGGCCGUGGGAUGCAAAGAGGACUUCAGCCAGCUUCAGGGACAAGAAACAGAGACCUGGUACCUGCAAACCCCUUGAGUUCUCUUUGUCACCAUCUCUGGGGGCCCUGGUGAGGUACACGGUGGAACACCGCAAGAUUCCCAGCCCAGCGGCACGUCCCUCUUGACUGUCAACUUGUCUCUGACAAACCUAAGGCUUAGGCGACGAAAUGAGAUCCUCCGGUUCCAAAGAAUUGAGUGUGCCCCCUUCCGGCACAACUGCUUUUAUGUCUAAGAAGUAGGUCCCAGAAGCUGUACGUGACUACAAAGACGGCAAGAUGUUCAUAAAGCAAGCUAGAAUCACCAGGGCUGUUGUGUGAAAGGAUUUCAGCCUAAAAUGGAACCGGAAGAAAUGAAACGGAGAAGCUCAUGCCUGUGUCCUCAGGAGAAGGGAACUGAAAACUGGACCGAUUUCCUGGAAGGGCCUGAUUUACCGGAGACUGAGACUUCUCUCCGGCAUAGUGAACAUCUGCCCGGAAUGGCUCCUGUCCUCAAGCCAGUGAACUUACUGUUGGACCACGGACGCUGCCAGGAGAGACCGCCUUCUCCAAAGUACAAGACCACUGUGUAAGGAUAAGACGCGGACAGACGAGCAAGUUUCACAGCAGCUCACUUGCCACCCACGAGACGAUUCCGUGCAACAAGGGACACCAGGUCAUAGGUCAGACAAGUAGGGCAAAGGCUGUCCUCCGUGAAGAGGACGUUUCCCACGAAAGGCACACUGUCAAACAAAACCCAAGUCCGCACCCUAAGUAUUCGGUGCUCUUGGGGAAGACUCUCACAAUGGGAUCCCAGGCAUCUCAAUGCUCUAAGGGUGACCCUCACCCCAAAACUCCAGUGGUUUUAUGCUAAAAAAAAAAGUUACGAUCUCUCAAGCACACAGACCGGCAGUAUUGAAGACAACUUGGAAUUGCAGUGGUCAUUACAAGGAAUGUUCCAGUUAGACAAGUUCCCUCAUUUAAGAAGUGCACUUGAAUGCAAGGGUUCCCAAAUGAAACAGACAGAACGGGUUACCUAUUUCAGUCAGCAUGCAGAAGCGUCCAGAAGGCUUCAAGAUCCCCAAACUGCUUCAUUGAAAGAUUGAUUGCAAAAGGGUAAUGAAAAGUUAAAGACCCAAGAGGUACCUAAAAUGAGACCAUAUGACUGCUGGGACUCCUGGAACUCCCCUUUAUCCUCCUCUAUACCCGAGUACUCAUAGUAUUAAUCCUCUGUCUGAAUGGUCUUCCCACCCGGAAGAGAUUACAUGACCACACUCACACCAAUGUGUCAAAGGAGAGCCCCCAUACAGGCCUCUCACAGGAUUGACGGGAUUCUGAGGGAUUCUCUUGUAACCACUACCAGUCAUUCCUGGAGCAGCUAAGGGGAAACUAAAAUUAAAGGGACCCCUUGUCAAGUUCUGGCAGAUGCACAAGUUACACUCUGUACUUUGAACCCCACUUGCUCCAGAGCUUACAGAUGGGAAUCCUGGAAAAAGAAGGGCAAGAAUCCUUACCUGCGUUUGCUCUCCCAAGUUACUGUGGCCCACUCAAGAGAAGAAGGAAUCAAAGUUGUUCUCAUCAGAAGGGAAAAACUGUGGGAGAGUGGUGUUCUCCAAGGUGGAAAAUGUUGUCUUCACAAGUAUCAGUGAAAAGUUGAAGUCCCCUUGACUCACCCUUUUACCAGAAGCAUGAUGUGAAUGUGAUCCUCUUAUAAAUGGACCCUUGAUUGUUUUACUCUGAUGAUUCUGCAAAACUGAAACGCAUGGAAAGAACCCUACCAAGAACUCUGGACCGCUGACAUUCCUGCCAAAUUAGAAGGUGUUGAACCCGGGAUGCCUAUGUCACAACUGAGGAAGGCUCCAUCUGACUUUGGGUCCGGUACAAAAGCCAGAGACCUCAAACUCAAAUGGACCAGCAAGAGAGGUCGACUGCUUCUUCCCAAGAUGGGGGGUUUCAAUCCAUGUUCGCAGCCAUUAGCCACCUAGCAAAUAAUCCCCCUAAGAACAGAACUUCAGAAAAGGAACAAAGAGAAUGACCAACGGAAAGAACGAACCUGAUGUCAUGACCCGUGAAUACCACACAGACAUUUGGCAAAAGACCACAAGAACACCGGAGCUUUAGAGGGAAGCGGCCCUAAUGCCUUAAGUUGUGAUCCCCUCUCAGGCUGAGAAUCGGAUCAAAAGGAAGGACAUGUUGAAAACAAGAAAAUAGGCCCCAAAUGGAGUCACUCACGCUAAGGUCCACGUCACAGAACAGACUUCACCGAACUUCGGCUCUCUCAGAAGUGGAGUCUUAAACCAGUCGGUCAGGAAUCCGCUGACCAGUUAGGGCGUCUGCCUGACAGACCCCUGCCAUUCCCUAAAGGAAAGUGACUUGGCCAUAUCCAACCGAUUUUUGUCUAGUGGAGCCUCCUUGUUCCCUCUCCCUCCUGGCUAUAAAAGUCUCAUUUUGCCUAGUUCCUCUGAGCUCCUUUCUUCUGCUAGACAAGAGGCUGCUUCAUUCAUAAAUUGGUGAAUAAAGCCAACAGAAUCUUUCA
Molecule: long non-coding RNA, 7195 nt
Organism: Lynx canadensis (Canada lynx)
Lineage: Eukaryota; Metazoa; Chordata; Mammalia; Carnivora; Felidae
Exons: 6
Source: RefSeq, a predicted model, not a curated record